GAUGAACGCUGGCGGCGUGCCUAAUACAUGCAAGUCGAGCGAACGGACGAGAAGCUUGCUUCUCUGAUGUUAGCGGCGGACGGGUGAGUAACACGUGGAUAACCUACCUAUAAGACUGGGAUAACUUCGGGAAACCGGAGCUAAUACCGGAUAAUAUUUUGAACCGCAUGGUUCAAAAGUGAAAGACGGUCUUGCUGUCACUUAUAGAUGGAUCCGCGCUGCAUUAGCUAGUUGGUAAGGUAACGGCUUACCAAGGCAACGAUGCAUAGCCGACCUGAGAGGGUGAUCGGCCACACUGGAACUGAGACACGGUCCAGACUCCUACGGGAGGCAGCAGUAGGGAAUCUUCCGCAAUGGGCGAAAGCCUGACGGAGCAACGCCGCGUGAGUGAUGAAGGUCUUCGGAUCGUAAAACUCUGUUAUUAGGGAAGAACAUAUGUGUAAGUAACUGUGCACAUCUUGACGGUACCUAAUCAGAAAGCCACGGCUAACUACGUGCCAGCAGCCGCGGUAAUACGUAGGUGGCAAGCGUUAUCCGGAAUUAUUGGGCGUAAAGCGCGCGUAGGCGGUUUUUUAAGUCUGAUGUGAAAGCCCACGGCUCAACCGUGGAGGGUCAUUGGAAACUGGAAAACUUGAGUGCAGAAGAGGAAAGUGGAAUUCCAUGUGUAGCGGUGAAAUGCGCAGAGAUAUGGAGGAACACCAGUGGCGAAGGCGACUUUCUGGUCUGUAACUGACGCUGAUGUGCGAAAGCGUGGGGAUCAAACAGGAUUAGAUACCCUGGUAGUCCACGCCGUAAACGAUGAGUGCUAAGUGUUAGGGGGUUUCCGCCCCUUAGUGCUGCAGCUAACGCAUUAAGCACUCCGCCUGGGGAGUACGACCGCAAGGUUGAAACUCAAAGGAAUUGACGGGGACCCGCACAAGCGGUGGAGCAUGUGGUUUAAUUCGAAGCAACGCGAAGAACCUUACCAAAUCUUGACAUCCUUUGACAACUCUAGAGAUAGAGCCUUCCCCUUCGGGGGACAAAGUGACAGGUGGUGCAUGGUUGUCGUCAGCUCGUGUCGUGAGAUGUUGGGUUAAGUCCCGCAACGAGCGCAACCCUUAAGCUUAGUUGCCAUCAUUAAGUUGGGCACUCUAAGUUGACUGCCGGUGACAAACCGGAGGAAGGUGGGGAUGACGUCAAAUCAUCAUGCCCCUUAUGAUUUGGGCUACACACGUGCUACAAUGGACAAUACAAAGGGCAGCGAAACCGCGAGGUCAAGCAAAUCCCAUAAAGUUGUUCUCAGUUCGGAUUGUAGUCUGCAACUCGACUACAUGAAGCUGGAAUCGCUAGUAAUCGUAGAUCAGCAUGCUANCGGUGAAUACGUUCCCGGGUCU
This 1373-nucleotide ribosomal RNA is filed under the name uncultured bacterium. RNAcentral's name for it is "bacterial SSU rRNA". It matches the Rfam family "Bacterial small subunit ribosomal RNA", at positions 28 to 1381 of the family's 1533-position model. The record is from RNAcentral.